AUUGAACGCUGGCGGCAGGCCUAACACAUGCAAGUCGAGCGGAUGAAGGGAGCUUGCUCCUGGAUUCAGCGGCGGACGGGUGAGUAAUGCCUAGGAAUCUGCCUGGUAGUGGGGGAUAACGUCCGGAAACGGGCGCUAAUACCGCAUACGUCCUGAGGGAGAAAGUGGGGGAUCUUCGGACCUCACGCUAUCAGAUGAGCCUAGGUCGGAUUAGCUAGUUGGUGGGGUAAAGGCCUACCAAGGCGACGAUCCGUAACUGGUCUGAGAGGAUGAUCAGUCACACUGGAACUGAGACACGGUCCAGACUCCUACGGGAGGCAGCAGUGGGAAUAUUGGACAAUGGGCGAAAGCCUGAUCCAGCCAUGCCGCGUGUGUGAAGAAGGUCUUCGGAUUGUAAAGCACUUUAAGUUGGGAGGAAGGGCAGUAAGUUAAUACCUUGCUGUUUUGACGUUACCAACAGAAUAAGCGCCGGCUAACUUCGUG
RNAcentral lists this ribosomal RNA (483 nucleotides) under uncultured bacterium. RNAcentral's name for it is "partial 16S ribosomal RNA". It matches the Rfam family "Bacterial small subunit ribosomal RNA", at positions 30 to 507 of the family's 1533-position model. The record is from RNAcentral.